Molecule: long non-coding RNA, 1694 nt
Organism: Vidua macroura (Pin-tailed whydah)
Lineage: Eukaryota; Metazoa; Chordata; Aves; Passeriformes; Viduidae
Exons: 3
Source: RefSeq, a predicted model, not a curated record
UCAUCUGCAAAGUUCCACUGAGUUCCCUCCCUGCAAGGACUUCCACAGAGCCUGGCCGCCGUGUCUCCACUCCGCUCCGCUCCACCCUCUGCUCCAUCCCCCUUAGCAGGUGCUGUGGCUGCAGACUGUGGGUGUGAGGAAACACCAUAGAAUAGGUUUCGAGGCUGCCAACUACACUCCAUCCAGUCCCCAGUCUAAAGUUUUGUUCAAGAUGGGAAUACUUCAGCUGAGAAAUGUCAAAGCUGUGACCUCAAAACUCUGCAGUGCCAAGGGACAGUCUAGAAUCAACGUCCCACAGCCUGAGAGAUAGCCUCUAACACAGGAAUGAAUAUUAUGCAGCAUGCAACAGAGUUGUCACGAUGUUUAUGCAAAUAAUAGCAGUAUGAGGUGACAGAAAGAAGCAUGAGGAGACAAGAAGAGAUAAGAAAAGAACAAAGAUUCCUCUGUGCUCAUCCCAUAUACUAGAAAUUUUCUGUUUUUUGCUUUUGAAAUUUCUCUCAAGGUGAAUACAAAUUAGUGAACACAAAAGCAAUUAUUACUAAUAAAUAUUAAUAAACAAUACCAGGAUAGAUAUUAUGAAAAAAAUGUAUUCUAGUUCUCUAAGAAGCACCUGCAGAAAUAGAACAACUCCAUCACUUGUUUCAAUGUGAACAACUUGCCAGCCAAAGUAUCUGCAACUAAAAUUUAUCCUUUUUAGUGCACCAUGAUGUUAGCUCAAUGUUUUACUAGAGAGGAUGAAGAAAUUAAUCUAUUUUUGAUUUAUUUAGUUAAAGGUCAUAUUCAGUGUACCUCUUCCUCUGGUGAUAACCUCUGUCUAAUAUAUAGAUCUUAUUUUUAUCAUCUUCUAUUGAUAGGAUAAACACCAGCUUGUCCACUGACUAAAACUGACCAUGUGAACUCUCAGUUUCUGUAUAUCUCAAUUAGUUUUGCUGCUGGCAAAAUGUACUUUAAUUUUUAUUUUUCCACAGCCAGCAUUUCCUCCUUUUUCUCCAUAUAUCUUGGUGACGCUUCCAUGGUUUUUUUCUUAUUGGAAGAAAACAAAAAUUCAUUGAUUUCUUGGGGAGAGGAUGCAACAGGUUUUGCACAUAUUAGGUGCACCUGGCUCAGAUACAUACAACUCUUUUUAUAAUACCCACUAUCUCUUUUAAAGUCUGAGAUGUCAAAAAGAACACAUGAGCUAUUAUUUUUAUUUCUAAGUAUUUGAGAAGCACUCAUACACUACAGUGCAGAGAUCUACUUAAGUACCACAGCAUAGAGAUGAUCCCAUCAGCAUCUCCAACAAUUCAAGCCUCUCCCCCAGUGAUGAAUAAUAACACCAGUUAAAAACAGUACAUAAAAAUGAGAUUUAUUCUUUCCUCUAUGAUCAUGAUUAAAGGAGCAGGUUAUUUUUUCCUAAGACUAUUAGUUGUAUCCUUUCGCCUGCAAGUCACAUCUCUGAAGCAAUUACUUAUUGACAUAUAAGUCUAAAUCCUAAGUAUAUCUUCUAUUCAUACCCUCUGUGACCCUCCAGCAGCCUGCAGACUGCUACUGUGUUUUAAGUAAGUCUGACUCUGAAAAGAGGAAAUAAGUAAAUUCUUCUCUCCUUUGUCCACUGUACUAUGAUGUUUUUGUCUCUGUUGAAAUGUCUCAGCUACAUCUCAAAGCUGCAUGCCUCAUCCAUCUCAAAAGUAUUCACUUUUCUUUAAGAAGGUUGA